Molecule: ribosomal RNA, 253 nt
Filed under: uncultured bacterium
Lineage: Bacteria
Description: partial 16S ribosomal RNA
Rfam family: Bacterial small subunit ribosomal RNA
Source: RNAcentral
UACGUAGGGCGCAAGCGUUGUCCGGAAUUAUUGGGCGUAAAGAGCUCGUAGGCGGCUUGUCACGUCGGAUGUGAAAGCCCGGGGCUUAACCCCGGGUCUGCAUUCGAUACGGGCAGGCUAGAGUGUGGUAGGGGAGAUCGGAAUUCCUGGUGUAGCGGUGAAAUGCGCAGAUAUCAGGAGGAACACCGGUGGCGAAGGCGGAUCUCUGGGCCAUUACUGACGCUGGGGUGCGAAAGCAUGGGGAGCGAACAGG